GAUGAACGCUGGCGGCGUGCUUAACACAUGCAAGUCGAACGGAUUUAAUAGAAAGCUUGCUUUCGGUUAAAUUAGUGGCGGACGGGUGAGUAACGCGUGGAUAACCUGCCGUAUACAGGGGGAUAACACUUAGAAAUAGGUGCUAAUACCGCAUAAGCGCACAGUUUCGCAUGAGACAGUGUGAAAAACUCCGGUGGUAUACGAUGGAUCCGCGUCUGAUUAGGUAGUUGGUGGGGGUAACGGCCCACCAAGCCGAUGAUCAGUAGCCGGCCUGAGAGGGUGAACGGCCACAUUGGGACUGAGACACGGCCCAAACUCCUACGGGAGGCAGCAGUGGGGAAUAUUGGGCAAUGGGGGAAACCCUGACCCAGCAACGCCGCGUGGAGGAAGAAGGUUUUCGGAUUGUAAACUUCUGUCCUUGGUGACGAAGGAAGUGACGGUAGCCAAGGAGGAAGCCCCGGCUAACUACGUG
Molecule: ribosomal RNA, 472 nt
Filed under: uncultured bacterium
Lineage: Bacteria
Description: bacterial SSU rRNA
Rfam family: Bacterial small subunit ribosomal RNA
Source: RNAcentral